AGGCAGCAGUGGGGAAUAUUGCACAAUGGGCGAAAGCCUGAUGCAGCGACGCCGCGUGAGGGAUGACGGCCUUCGGGUUGUAAACCUCUUUCAGCAGGGAAGAAGCGAAAGUGACGGUACCUGCAGAAGAAGCGCCGGCUAACUACGUGCCAGCAGCCGCGGUAAUACGUAGGGCGCAAGCGUUGUCCGGAAUUAUUGGGCGUAAAGAGCUCGUAGGCGGCUUGUCACGUCGGUUGUGAAAGCCCGGGGCUUAACCCCGGGUCUGCAGUCGAUACGGGCAGGCUAGAGUUCGGUAGGGGAGAUCGGAAUUCCUGAUGUAGCGGUGAAAUGCGCAGAUAUCAGGAGGAACACCGGUGGCGAAGGCGGAUCUCUGGGCCGAUACUGACGCUGAGGAGCGAAAGCGUGGGGAGCGAACAGGAUUAGAUACCCUGGUAGUCCACGCCGUAAACGGUGGGCACUAGGUGUGGGCAACAUUCCACGUUGUCCGUGCCGCAGCUAACGCAUUAAGCACUCCGCCUGGGGAGUCCGGCCGCAAGGCUGAAACUCAAAGGAAUUGACGG
RNAcentral lists this ribosomal RNA (560 nucleotides) under uncultured Actinomycetes bacterium. RNAcentral's name for it is "bacterial SSU rRNA". It matches the Rfam family "Bacterial small subunit ribosomal RNA", at positions 346 to 916 of the family's 1533-position model. The record is from RNAcentral. Lineage: Bacteria; Bacillati; Actinomycetota; Actinomycetes.